Long non-coding RNA from Capra hircus (goat), 764 nucleotides. RefSeq lists it as uncharacterized. NCBI's taxonomy places the organism in Eukaryota, Metazoa, Chordata, Mammalia, Artiodactyla, Bovidae. The transcript is spliced from 3 exons. The record is from RefSeq and is a predicted model, not a curated record.
CUGGGCUUGUGCUUCCAUGCCCAGGAAAAUACCUUACGGGCCAGCCAGCAACGUGUCUUCUCCCAAGCGAGCAGAGCAUUCUGCUGGUGGUGGGAGGCAGGGAUGCCCUAGAUGCCUGGACCCGGGUCCCCAUCUGCAGGAGGUGCCAGCAGGCUGGUCCCUGGGAAACAGAGGAAUGCAAAACUUUCAUCUGAAGUUCACAGCCUGGGUUGGGCUGCUGAGGCUGCUGACAUGCAUUCCCAGCUAAAAGCAUCCUAAGUGAUACAUGGAAGAGGAGGUUUGGGGGAAAGUUAGUUUGUCUUUGCAUAUAUUGAAUUUGAGAUGACUGGAGACCACCUGGAAGUUUCCCCGGGAUAGGGCUGUCCUGGCACAGAGUAAAAAUGCAGUACUUCUUGGCAGAAAAAGUCAACAUCCUACUCUUCCACUGACUCUACAAUCCAACCCAUUAUAAGACUUUUCUACUUCAAGACCACUAAGAAAGAGAAAAAAUUAUAAUCAGAAGAUAGUGGCAAUUAUAAGACACAUUCCAAGCUUGGGAUUGUUGUCACCAUCCUGGAUGAGGGAAGAGACCACCACGAAAGGUUGAAGACUAAACUGGUACCACUUCAUAAAUACAGAUGUGCACACAUCUAUUUACACAAACAAAAACCUUUUCUUUUUAAUUAGUUCACUUGGCCUCCCUAUCUUGAGCUGUCCUGCUCAGACCAGAUGUUGUUUCAAAUUUAAAUGACUCACCCUCCUGCCUAAACCCCAGGAAACUAAAG